Molecule: ribosomal RNA, 497 nt
Filed under: uncultured bacterium
Lineage: Bacteria
Description: partial 16S ribosomal RNA
Rfam family: Bacterial small subunit ribosomal RNA
Source: RNAcentral
GAUGAACGCUGGCGGCGUGCCUAAUACAUGCAAGUCGAGCGAACGGAUGAGGAGCUUGCUCCUCUGACGUUAGCGGCGGACGGGUGAGUAACACGUGGAUAACCUACCUAUAAGACUGGGAUAACUUCGGGAAACCGGAGCUAAUACCGGAUAAUAUUUUGAACCGCAUGGUUCAAUAGUGAAAGACGGUUUUGCUGUCACUUAUAGAUGGAUCCGCGCUGCAUUAGCUAGUUGGUAAGGUAACGGCUUACCAAGGCAACGAUGCAUAGCCGACCUGAGAGGGUGAUCGGCCACACUGGAACUGAGACACGGUCCAGACUCCUACGGGAGGCAGCAGUAGGGAAUCUUCCGCAAUGGGCGAAAGCCUGACGGAGCAACGCCGCGUGAGUGAUGAAGGUCUUCGGAUCGUAAAACUCUGUUAUUAGGGAAGAACAAAUGUGUAAGUAACUGUGCACGUCUUGACGGUACCUAAUCAGAAAGCCACGGCUAACUACGUG